UGGGGAAUUUUGGACAAUGGGCGAAAGCCUGAUCCAGCAAUGCCGCGUGUGUGAAGAAGGCCUUCGGGUUGUAAAGCACUUUUAUCAGGAGCGAAACGCUGUCGGCUAAUACCCGGCGGAACUGACGGUACCUGAGGAAUAAGCACCGGCUAACUUCGUGCCAGCAGCCGCGGUAAUACGAAGGGUGCAAGCGUUAAUCGGAAUUACUGGGCGUAAAGCGUGCGUAGGCGGUUUCUUAAGUCUGCUGUGAAAUCCCCGGGCUCAACCUGGGAAUGGCAGUGGAUACUGGGAGGCUAGAGUGUGUCAGAGGGUGGUGGAAUUCCCGGUGUAGCGGUGAAAUGCGUAGAGAUCGGGAGGAACAUCAGUGGCGAAGGCGGCCACCUGGGACAACACUGACGCUGAGGCACGAAAGCGUGGGGAGCAAACAGGAUUAGAUACCCUGGUAGUCCACGCCCUAAACGAUGCGAACUGGAUGUUGGUCUCAACUCGGAGAUCAGUGUCGAAGCUAACGCGUUAAGUUCGCCGCCUGGGGGAGUACGGUCGCAAGACUGAAACUUAAAUGAAUUGACGGGG
RNAcentral lists this ribosomal RNA (573 nucleotides) under uncultured bacterium. RNAcentral describes it as "partial 16S ribosomal RNA". It matches the Rfam family "Bacterial small subunit ribosomal RNA", at positions 355 to 918 of the family's 1533-position model. The record is from RNAcentral.